RNAcentral lists this ribosomal RNA (492 nucleotides) under uncultured bacterium. RNAcentral describes it as "partial 16S ribosomal RNA". It matches the Rfam family "Bacterial small subunit ribosomal RNA", at positions 29 to 507 of the family's 1533-position model. The record is from RNAcentral.
AGUGAACGCUGGCGGCAGGCCUAACACAUGCCAGUCGAACGGACGCACAGUAAGAGCUCGCCCCUACGGGUAGCGAGUGACGGGCGAGUGAGGCAUAAAUCGGAAUCUACUUUUUCGUGGGGGAUAACGUAGGGCAACAUAUAAUACUACCGCAUACGACCUACGGGUGAAAGCAAGGGAUCAUCGGACCUUGCCCGACUGUAAGAGCCGAUGCCGCACUAGCUAGUUGGCUGGGUAAAGGCCCACCAAGGCGACGAUCCGUAGCUGGUCUGAGAGGAUGAUCGGCCACACUGGAACUGAGACACGGUCCAGACUCCUACGGGAGGCAGCAGUAGGGAAUCUUGGGCAAUGGGCGCAAGCCUGAUGCAGCAAUGCCGCGUGAGUGAUGAAGGCCUUCGGAUUGUAAAGCCCUGUUAUUAGGAAAGAAAAGAAGCGGAAUAAUACGCGGAUAUUCUGACGGUACCCAAAGAGAAAGCACCGGCUAACUUCGUG